Molecule: ribosomal RNA, 1933 nt
Filed under: Escherichia coli
Lineage: Bacteria; Pseudomonadati; Pseudomonadota; Gammaproteobacteria; Enterobacterales; Enterobacteriaceae
Description: partial 23S ribosomal RNA
Rfam family: Bacterial large subunit ribosomal RNA
Source: RNAcentral
AGUGUGUGUGUUAGUGGAAGCGUCUGGAAAGGCGCGCGAUACAGGGUGACAGCCCCGUACACAAAAAUGCACAUGCUGUGAGCUCGAUGAGUAGGGCGGGACACGUGGUAUCCUGUCUGAAUAUGGGGGGACCAUCCUCCAAGGCUAAAUACUCCUGACUGACCGAUAGUGAACCAGUACCGUGAGGGAAAGGCGAAAAGAACCCCGGCGAGGGGAGUGAAAAAGAACCUGAAACCGUGUACGUACAAGCAGUGGGAGCCUCUUUUAUGGGGUGACUGCGUACCUUUUGUAUAAUGGGUCAGCGACUUAUAUUCUGUAGCAAGGUUAACCGAAUAGGGGAGCCGAAGGGAAACCGAGUCUUAACUGGGCGUUAAGUUGCAGGGUAUAGACCCGAAACCCGGUGAUCUAGCCAUGGGCAGGUUGAAGGUUGGGUAACACUAACUGGAGGACCGAACCGACUAAUGUUGAAAAAUUAGCGGAUGACUUGUGGCUGGGGGUGAAAGGCCAAUCAAACCGGGAGAUAGCUGGUUCUCCCCGAAAGCUAUUUAGGUAGCGCCUCGUGAAUUCAUCUCCGGGGGUAGAGCACUGUUUCGGCAAGGGGGUCAUCCCGACUUACCAACCCGAUGCAAACUGCGAAUACCGGAGAAUGUUAUCACGGGAGACACACGGCGGGUGCUAACGUCCGUCGUGAAGAGGGAAACAACCCAGACCGCCAGCUAAGGUCCCAAAGUCAUGGUUAAGUGGGAAACGAUGUGGGAAGGCCCAGACAGCCAGGAUGUUGGCUUAGAAGCAGCCAUCAUUUAAAGAAAGCGUAAUAGCUCACUGGUCGAGUCGGCCUGCGCGGAAGAUGUAACGGGGCUAAACCAUGCACCGAAGCUGCGGCAGCGACGCUUAUGCGUUGUUGGGUAGGGGAGCGUUCUGUAAGCCUGUGAAGGUGUGCUGUGAGGCAUGCUGGAGGUAUCAGAAGUGCGAAUGCUGACAUAAGUAACGAUAAAGCGGGUGAAAAGCCCGCUCGCCGGAAGACCAAGGGUUCCUGUCCAACGUUAAUCGGGGCAGGGUGAGUCGACCCCUAAGGCGAGGCCGAAAGGCGUAGUCGAUGGGAAACAGGUUAAUAUUCCUGUACUUGGUGUUACUGCGAAGGGGGGACGGAGAAGGCUAUGUUGGCCGGGCGACGGUUGUCCCGGUUUAAGCGUGUAGGCUGGUUUUCCAGGCAAAUCCGGAAAAUCAAGGCUGAGGCGUGAUGACGAGGCACUACGGUGCUGAAGCAACAAAUGCCCUGCUUCCAGGAAAAGCCUCUAAGCAUCAGGUAACAUCAAAUCGUACCCCAAACCGACACAGGUGGUCAGGUAGAGAAUACCAAGGCGCUUGAGAGAACUCGGGUGAAGGAACUAGGCAAAAUGGUGCCGUAACUUCGGGAGAAGGCACGCUGAUAUGUAGGUGAAGUCCCUUGCGGAUGGAGCUGAAAUCAGUCGAAGAUACCAGCUGGCUGCAACUGUUUAUUAAAAACACAGCACUGUGCAAACACGAAAGUGGACGUAUACGGUGUGACGCCUGCCCGGUGCCGGAAGGUUAAUUGAUGGGGUCAGCGCAAGCGAAGCUCUUGAUCGAAGCCCCGGUAAACGGCGGCCGUAACUAUAACGGUCCUAAGGUAGCGAAAUUCCUUGUCGGGUAAGUUCCGACCUGCACGAAUGGCGUAAUGAUGGCCAGGCUGUCUCCACCCGAGACUCAGUGAAAUUGAACUCGCUGUGAAGAUGCAGUGUACCCGCGGCAAGACGGAAAGACCCCGUGAACCUUUACUAUAGCUUGACACUGAACAUUGAGCCUUGAUGUGUAGGAUAGGUGGGAGGCUUAGAAGUGUGGACGCCAGUCUGCAUGGAGCCGACCUUGAAAUACCACCCUUUAAUGUUUGAUGUUCUAACGUUGACCCGUAAUC